This 161-nucleotide ribosomal RNA is filed under the name uncultured bacterium. RNAcentral describes it as "partial 16S rRNA". It matches the Rfam family "Bacterial small subunit ribosomal RNA", at positions 355 to 510 of the family's 1533-position model. The record is from RNAcentral.
UAGGGAAUCUUCCACAAUGGACGCAAGUCUGAUGGAGCAACGCCGCGUGAGUGAGAAGGUCUUCGGAUCGUAAACUCUGUUGUUAGAGAAGAACACGAGUGAGAGUAACUGUUCAUUCGAUGACGGUAUCUAACCAGCAAGUCACGGCUAACUACGUGCCA